This 440-nucleotide ribosomal RNA is filed under the name uncultured bacterium. Its description in RNAcentral is "partial 16S ribosomal RNA". It matches the Rfam family "Bacterial small subunit ribosomal RNA", at positions 338 to 795 of the family's 1533-position model. The record is from RNAcentral.
CCUACGGGAGGCAGCAGUGGGGAAUAUUGCACAAUGGGGGAAACCCUGAUGCAGCGACGCCGCGUGAGCGAAGAAGUAUUUCGGUAUGUAAAGCUCUAUCAGCAGGGAAGAAAAUGACGGUAACUGACUAAGAAGCCCCGGCUAACUACGUGCCAGCAGCCGCGGUAAUACGUAGGGGGCAAGCGUUAUCCGGAUUUACUGGGUGUAAAGGGAGCGUAGACGGCAGUGCAAGUCUGGUGUGAAAGGCCGGGGCUCAACCCCGGGACUGCACUGGAAACUGUAUGGCUGGAGUGCAGGAGAGGUAAGUGGAAUUCCUAGGGUAGCGGUGAAAUGCGUAGAUAUUAGGAGGAACACCAGUGGCGAAGGCGGCCUACUGGACUGUAACUGACGUUGAGGCUCGAAAGCGUGGGGAGCAAACAGGAUUAGAUACCCUUGUAGUC